This 501-nucleotide ribosomal RNA is filed under the name uncultured soil bacterium. Its description in RNAcentral is "bacterial SSU rRNA". It matches the Rfam family "Bacterial small subunit ribosomal RNA", at positions 8 to 498 of the family's 1533-position model. The record is from RNAcentral.
AGAGUUUGAUCCUGGCUCAGGACGAACGCUGGCGGCGCGCUUAACACAUGCAAGUCGAGCGAGAACCAGGGCUUCGGCUCUGGGGACAGCGGCGAACGGGUGAGUAACAUGUGGGUAAUCCACCCUCGGCACCGGAAUAGCCCGGGGAAACCCGGAUUAAUGCCGGAUGGCCCGUCGACCCUUCGGGGCUGACGGAAAAGGUAGCUUCGGCCUCCGGCCGGGGACGAGCCCGCGACGGAUUAGCUUGUUGGUGGGGUAACGGCCUACCAAGGCUCCGAUCCGUAGCUGGUCUGAGAGGACGAUCAGCCACACUGGGACUGAGACACGGCCCAGACUCCUACGGGAGGCAGCAGUGGGGAAUCUUGCGCAAUGGGCGAAAGCCUGACGCAGCGACGCCGCGUGAGGGAAGAAGGCCUUCGGGUUGUAAACCUCUUUCAGGAGGGACGAAGCCACUCGGGUUAAUAGCCCAGAGGGUGACGUACCUCCAGAAGAGCCCCCCCG